Molecule: ribosomal RNA, 265 nt
Filed under: uncultured prokaryote
Description: partial 16S ribosomal RNA
Rfam family: Bacterial small subunit ribosomal RNA
Source: RNAcentral
UACGUAGGUGGCAAGCGUUAUCCGGAUUUACUGGGUGUAAAGGGCGUGUAGGCGGGAAAGCAAGUCAGGCGUGAAAAUUAUGGGCUCAACCCAUAACUUGCGUUUGAAACUGUUUUUCUUGAGUACUGGAGAGGCAGAUGGAAUUCCUAGUGUAGCGGUGAAAUGCGUAGAUAUUAGGAGGAACACCAGUGGCGAAGGCGAUCUGCUGGACAGCAACUGACGCUGAGGCGCGAAAGCGUGGGGAGCAAACAGGAUUAGAUACCCG